GGACGGCUGCGAUGGUAGGGCAUGAGACUCUUCAUCUCAGGGUCGUGGGUUCAAGUCCCACGUUGUGUG
Molecule: non-coding RNA, 69 nt
Organism: Podarcis lilfordi (Lilford's wall lizard)
Lineage: Eukaryota; Metazoa; Chordata; Lepidosauria; Squamata; Lacertidae
Source: the annotation of a GenBank genome assembly